Molecule: ribosomal RNA, 741 nt
Filed under: uncultured archaeon
Lineage: Archaea
Description: bacterial SSU rRNA
Rfam family: Archaeal small subunit ribosomal RNA
Source: RNAcentral
UUCCGGUUGAUCCUGCCGGAGGACAUUGCUAUUGGGAUUCGAUUUAGCCAUGCUAGUCGAACGAGGUCAGACUCGUGGCGAAUAGCUCAGUAACACGUGGCCAAGCUCCCCUUCGGUCAGCGAUACCCUCGGGAAACUGAGGUUAACAGCUGAUACAAAACGCCAGCUGGAAUGCGGCGUUUCAGAAAGACAUCGCUGAAGGAUGCGGCCGCGGCCGAUUAGGUAGACGGUGGGGUAACGGCCCACCGUGCCAGUAAUCGGUACGGGUGAUGAGAGUCAGAGCCCGGAGACGGUAUCUGAGACAAGAUUCCGGGCCCUACGGGGCGCAGCAGGCGCGAAACCUUUACACUGCACGGAAGUGCGAUAGGGGAAUCCCAAGUGCGAGGGCAUAUUAGCCCUCGCUUUUCUCGACCGUAAGGUGGUCGACGAAUAAGAGUUGGGCAAGACCGGUGCCAGCCGCCGCGGUAAUACCGGCAGCUCAAGUGAUGUCCCAUAUUAUUGGGCCUAAAGCGUCCGUAGCUGGCCGACCAAGUCUACCGGGAAAUCAACCCGCCCAACGGGUGGGCGUCCGGUAGAAACUGGCCGGCUUGGAACCGGAAGGCUCAGAGAGUACGUCCGGGGUAGGAGUGAAAUCCCGUAAUCCCGGACGGACUACCGAUGGCGAAAGCACUCUGAGAAGACGGCUUCGACAGUGAGGGACGAAAGCUCGGGUCUCAAACCGGAUUAGAUACCCGGGUAGUC